This is a long non-coding RNA of Sitophilus oryzae (rice weevil), 417 nucleotides long. RefSeq lists it as uncharacterized. Lineage: Eukaryota; Metazoa; Arthropoda; Insecta; Coleoptera; Curculionidae. The record is from RefSeq and is a predicted model, not a curated record. The transcript is spliced from 3 exons.
UCCUUACAAAUUAAUGGAUACAGAUGACAACCUGGAUACAGUGAAGACUAUGACUGACCAGAAGCUCUGUCGAUACCACGGAUAUUCAAAAUUCAUCAUCAAAAUAUACAACUAUUCUUUUCUUACUUUUUAACAAAUCAAGCCCAAGUAGGGAAUACAGCAAUCCUUGCAAAUUACUGGAUACAGAUGACCACCUGGAUACAGUGAAGACCAUGACUGACCAGAAGCUCUGUCGAUACCACGGAUAUUCAAAAUUCAUCAUCAAAAUAUACAACUAUUCUUUUCUUAUUUUUUGACAAAUCGAGCUCAAUCAAGAAAUACAGCAAUUAUUGGAAAUUACUGGAUACAUAAGGCCUCCUGGAUACAGUGAAGACUAAGAUUGACCAGAAGCUUUGCAGCUUCCAACGAUAUUUUGAC